This 471-nucleotide ribosomal RNA is filed under the name uncultured organism. Its description in RNAcentral is "bacterial SSU rRNA". It matches the Rfam family "Bacterial small subunit ribosomal RNA", at positions 28 to 507 of the family's 1533-position model. The record is from RNAcentral.
GACGAACGCUGGCGGCGUGCCUAACACAUGCAAGUCGAACGGAGAUACAUUAGUAGCAAUAUUGAUGUAUUUUAGUGGCGGACGGGUGAGUAACGCGUGAGCAAUCUGCCCUCGGGUGGGGGAUAACAGCGGGAAACUGCUGCUAAUACCGCAUAACGUAUAUUUGUGGCAUCGCAGAUAUACCAAAGAUUUAUUGCCUGAGGAUGAGCUCGCGUCUGAUUAGCUAGUUGGUGAGGUAACGGCCCACCAAGGCUUCGAUCAGUAGCCGGACUGAGAGGUUGAACGGCCACAUUGGGACUGAGAUACGGCCCAGACUCCUACGGGAGGCAGCAGUGGGGAAUAUUGCGCAAUGGGGGAAACCCUGACGCAGCAACGCCGCGUGAAGGAAGAAGGUUCUCGGAUUGUAAACUUCUUUUACUCGGGACGAAAAAAAUGACGGUACCGGGUGAAUAAGCCACGGCUAACUACGUG